This is a long non-coding RNA of Neofelis nebulosa (Clouded leopard), 330 nucleotides long. RefSeq lists it as uncharacterized. The record is from RefSeq and is a predicted model, not a curated record. NCBI's taxonomy places the organism in Eukaryota, Metazoa, Chordata, Mammalia, Carnivora, Felidae. The transcript is spliced from 3 exons.
CGGCGACUCUGCAGGAGCCCUGGAGGGGCUGAGGGGCAGAGCAGGCGUGGCGUCCUGAGGCCGCAUGGGGGCAAGGGACGACGCUGUGUGGGGCAGGACUCCGAGUUAAAGUCAGAGAGACGAUGGAUGGAUGGCACAGACAGAGAGAGACAUGGAGAGGUGGGGCCCGGCUCGGAGAGAAAUUUAUUAUCGCCCUGCAGACCAGUCAGAGACUCAGGCAGCGUUUGGUGAUGGCCAUUACUGGGAGAGCCGCCCCCGGACACUUCCACACGUUCCCCAGGCCCAGAGCGAGACAGGCCCAGGCCCAGGAACCGUGGGCUCCGAGACGGA